UGGUGGAGUGAUUUGUCUGGUUAAUUCCGUUAACGAACGAGACCUCGACCUGCUAAAUAGUUCUAGUCAUCUCUGAUGGCUGGAUACUUCUUAGAGGGACUAUCGGUGGUUAGCCGAUGGAAGUUCGAGGCAAUAACA
This 138-nucleotide ribosomal RNA is filed under the name uncultured eukaryote. Its description in RNAcentral is "partial 18S ribosomal RNA". It matches the Rfam family "Eukaryotic small subunit ribosomal RNA", at positions 1299 to 1458 of the family's 1831-position model. The record is from RNAcentral.